GAUGAACGCUGGCGGCGUGCCUAAUACAUGCAAGUCGAGCGAACGGACGAGAAGCUUGCUUCUCUGAUGUUAGCGGCGGACGGGUGAGUAACACGUGGAUAACCUACCUAUAAGACUGGGAUAACUUCGGGAAACCGGAGCUAAUACCGGAUAAUAUUUUGAACCGCAUGGUUCAACAGUGAAAGACGGUCUUGCUGUCACUUAUAGAUGGAUCCGCGCUGCAUUAGCUAGUUGGUAAGGUAACGGCUUACCAAGGCAACGAUGCAUAGCCGACCUGAGAGGAUGAUCGGCCACACUGGAACUGAGACACGGUCCAGACUCCUACGGGAGGCAGCAGUAGGGAAUCUUCCGCAAUGGGCGAAAGCCUGACGGAGCAACGCCGCGUGAGUGAUGAAGGUCUUCGGAUCGUAAAACUCUGUUAUUAGGGAAGAACAUAUGUGUAAGUAACUGUGCACAUCUUGACGGUACCUAAUCAGAAAGCCACGGCUAACUACGUG
This 497-nucleotide ribosomal RNA is filed under the name uncultured bacterium. RNAcentral's name for it is "partial 16S ribosomal RNA". It matches the Rfam family "Bacterial small subunit ribosomal RNA", at positions 28 to 507 of the family's 1533-position model. The record is from RNAcentral.